Equus caballus (horse) is the source of this 920-nucleotide long non-coding RNA. RefSeq lists it as uncharacterized. The record is from RefSeq and is a predicted model, not a curated record. NCBI's taxonomy places the organism in Eukaryota, Metazoa, Chordata, Mammalia, Perissodactyla, Equidae.
UGGCUCUGAAAAGUCUGACCUGCUCUGGCGCCCUCCGCUUUCACUUUGGCUUUGGCUGAAUUCUUGGGUCAGGACCCAAAUCCUCACGGGGCUAGCAUGGGCCCAGGGGGUCGAACUCCUGGCAGCCCCUCUAAGAGCGAGGCCCAGGGUCACGGUUUUCCCCGGACGCUCCUCUUAGGUUACCAUGGUUACCGUUGCCCCAGUGCACUUGCGGUGUUUAGCCAAACCCUGAUGAGAGUUUAGUCUGCAGAAAAGCAAGCAGGAUCAGAAGAAACAAGUGUCGCAACAGGAGAGAGUCUGGUUAGACCAAAGAAAGAACUUCCAGCUGUGAGGAUGUCCCAGAAAGGAGGGAAGGUGAAGUAACCAGCCCGCUGUGGAUCGGAUGCUUCCGUUACGUUACUGCCUGCUGUCCUGGUGUAGGAAUGGCUGCCUGGAACACUCCUUCCACUAGUCCGCUAUGCCAACUCACCUGAUGUCCAGACCGGAAAGUGCCAGCCAUAUUCUCCACAUCGAUAUGUGCUAUGGUGCCAAACACCAGAAGUAUUUGCAGAGCGGAGGGAAAACAAGGUUUGAAUUAAACAAAACCGGAAGCCAGACUGUGAAAAAAUUCGAACCCUUCAUUGUGUCAAAUUGUAAGUGGAGAUUCUGUUCCUAUCGAUGCCUUCAAAACUGAAGUUCUCUCUGACCAGGGAGAGACCCAGUAAUGCAGCAUAUAUAAUUAUAAACACGUUAUGCAUCUCAUCAGAGAAAAAACUGCCUUGAGAGGACCUAGACUUUGUGUCUUCUUCUGUUUUUCCAACAGUGAUACAUUCUCUUUUUGCAUUCCUCUCAUAGAAAAGAGUACUUUAGGGGCUGGCCCUGUGGCCAAGUGGUUAAGUUUGCGUGCUCUGCUUCAGCGGCCCAGGGUGUCGCCAGUUCGG